This 713-nucleotide long non-coding RNA is filed under the name Aedes aegypti (yellow fever mosquito). RNAcentral describes it as "lncRNA AAEL026447". The record is from RNAcentral. Lineage: Eukaryota; Metazoa; Arthropoda; Insecta; Diptera; Culicidae.
AUAACACUUAUUAUAAUAUUUCAUCAUAUUUAUGGGUUCAUACCUACUGUAAAUUGUAUAUGAACCAAAGCCACACUGAAAUACAUCUAGGAGGAUAUUUUAUCAGAAAUUACAUAUAAGUGGAAUUCCUCGUUUGGCUCAUACAUCUUAUAUGCAUACCAUUGCUUAUUAUUCAUAUUCUUGUUCGAAAUCAACAGCUUUUAAAUAAAAUAUAUAAGACGUUAGGUCACGCUAAAAGUAUAUGCUCAAAACAUGAGCGUUACUAGCUUCGCAUAUACAUUUCACCAAACCACUUGAUCGUAUCUUUUAUAUGCAUGCGUGUCAUAUUGAAGGAAUAAUUUCAGCUGUUUUUAUAAGCAGAGUGAGUGCUAGAGAAUAUAAAAGUUCAUUGGGUUCCUGUUGAAAUGUUUUCAAUUACGUUUUACAGCAUUAAUAACCAUCAUACUUAAGUAUGACUUUGCAACUUGUACGGAACCCAUGGCGAAACCAAUUAAAGGCCAUCUAUGUUAAACCUUCAUGGGGAAACUGCUAGAAGGACGAUUAAAUCAACGGGAGACUGAAAAUGUAGAAGUAAAAUUCUCGUCUUCUGGGCGAGACGAUUCCUCAAGGUCCGACAGGUCUAGUUUACUGUUUUGGGAGAAAAAUCUGUGUCCGUACUGUUUUUACGGAACCUGUGAACAUGAAUCAUAUUCAAUAAAAUGUUUUAAACUUGA